ACCUGAGUGUGAAUCCCGCCCCUGCCACUUAACCUGAGUGUGAACUUGGGAGCCUGCCCCACCUCUCGGAACCUCAGUUCCUCCAUCUAUGAAAAGGGAACUUACGUGCAGAAAACCAAGUGACUAUGAGGGGGAUGGGGCAGUGUGAGAUGACGGGACCAGAGCACGUUCCUGGCUGCAGAGGCCACAAGUCACGCUGUCUCUGAGAGUGGAAUGUCACCAUCGCCCAGGUGGGGAUUUUUGUGUGUUUUGUUCACUGCUGUACACCCAGCCCCCAGCACAGCGCCUGUCCAGGACAAGUGCCCAGUAAACACUUGGGAAGCAAUGCAAGCGUCCUCCCAGCAGCUCCUGCAAACAGACCCCCGACCCAAGCCCUUCCUUCUGCCUCCACUGCCACCACUGCUGCUCAUCUCUGCUGGCACAGAAGUCUCUUCCCUGGUCUUCCAGAAAUCCCCUCUCCACACUCAGCCAGAGGGAGCUAUUAAAACUGUGGGCCAGCCCACAUCAGUCCACAGCAAAGUCCUCUCUAAGGGAUCUCUGUUGCUUGGAGAAUAAACCCUCGGAUUCCUUCCUUGGCUCUCGGGGCCUCCUCUCUGACCUCCCUCUGUCUCCUCUCCCAGCCUUCCUCCUCACUCACCCUCCAGCCAUGCUGGCUUCCUCCUUGCUCCUGAAACAGCCUGAGGCCCACACUGCCCCGGGCCCUUUGCACUGGCUGUUUCCUCUGCCUGGAACACUUCUCCUAGGCAUCCACAGGGCUCCCUCCCACAACUCCUUCGGGUGCCCACAUGGGAAGCCAUCCCUGACCACCCCCCCGACUUCCUUCUGAGCAAGGUAGGGUCUUUCUACCUAGUCAUGAGGGCAGGGAUUUUUGUCUGUUGUGUUCUCUGUGUGCCCCCAGUGCCAUCCCAGUGCCUGGCAGAUGGUAAGUGCUCGACACACAUUGGCUGACUGCCUGAAUGAACAACUCUAUGAGCCGAUGGCAGAUAAGGACACUGAGGUCCUCUGGGGUAGGUGACCAGCCCAAGGCCACACAGCUGGUCUGAGAUUAGGCCAGGAGAGGAGCCCGGGUUGGUCACAUCCUGGAGUUGGCGUCUUGGAAACUGCAUCAGGAGAAUAACAAAGAUGAGACGCAGGCUCUAACAAGUGGAUACCAGUGACUCUCGCCCCGCCAGCCCCAGCCCUGCAGCCUUGGGCCCUUCCAGGAGUCAUGGUCUGCCUGCCUGGGGCAUUCCAGGCUUCGACCCAGGUCCUGCACUUUCUAUUUUGAGCCUCUUAGUCCUGAGGACUGUGUGUUCCCAGCAGGCGGCGCGGGCCAGAGGCUGAGCCUGGGUGUGGCUGUCACCCUAUCUGGGGCCAGAGACCCAGAUUCCCGGGCCCUUAACCUGUUGGCUGCUGAGGGCUCUGGCAUAAGCCCUGUUCCCUGCUUGAUUGUCUCCCCUUCAAGCCCCUGCCCUGGUAUCGUAUCGGCCCAUCUCACCUUGGAUUAUAUCCCUGUUUGGCCCCAUUUGAAUCCUGGCUCUGCCCCUUUCCAGCAAUGUGACCUUGGGCAAGUCACUUCAUCUCUCUGGGUCUCAGUUUCUUCAUCUGGGAAAUGGGGACAAUAAGAGUACCUGUCUCUGGCCAUGUGUGGUGACUCAUGCCUGUAACCCCAGCGCUUUGGGAAGCCGAGGCGAGAGAAUUGCUUGAGACCAGGAGUUUGAGAUCAGCCCUGGGCAACAUAGUGAGACCCCUGUCUCUACAAAAUUCUAAAAAAAUUAGCCGGGUGUGGUGGUGUGUGCCUGUAGUCCCAGCUAUUCUAGAGGCUGAGGCGGGAGGAUUGCUUGAGCCCAGGAGUUUGAGGCUGCAGUGAGCUAUGAUUAUGCCCCUGCACAUCAGCCUGGGUGAUAGAUUGAGGCCCCAUCUCUAAAAAUAACAAUACUAAUAAUAAAUAAAAAUGAAAAUGAGUACCUGUCUUCUGGGGUUGCAGAGGAGAUUCAAUGUGAUGAAAUUGAUGAGAGUGCCCUGCAGGGAGCCGGAAACUCAGGGAGCAUCGAUAAUGAGUCCCCCACCAUCAGCAGCUGGCUUAAAUAUAAAAACUGUCAUGGCCUCUGGAGAAAUGACAAGAAUUCGAAGGAGCUUCCCUGCACUGGCCACCCUACACCCUACACCCUUACUUCCUCCCCUCAACUUGCCUGGAUUUAUCGACCCCCACUACCCCACUGGUUGCCUUCUCUCCACCUGGCACAUUUCGUAUGAAUUUGCUUGUUGGUUCUUGCCUAUCUCCCCAGUAGAACAUUAGCUCCUUCAGGACAGGGACUUUUGUCUACCUUAUGCACCUAGUGCAAUGCCUGGCACACAGUCGGUGCUUAAUAAAUGUUUCUUAAAAGAACCAAUAAAUGAAUAGUGACCUCUCCGGGGAGAGGAGCCCUGAGCUCACCUCCUGCCCCCAGCCCAGGGCUCUUAGGUGCUUGUUGGUGUCAGGCCCAGGCCCCCCUCUCAUCAAGCAGCCAAUAAAACUGCCCUGGUUGGCGUUCUCAUUUCACAGAUGGAGAGACUGAGCCCAGAGAGGGAGAGUCACCUGUCUGAUGUCACACAGAGGUCAGCAUCUGGGCUGGGAUUCCAGCCCAGGACCAUGUGGGGUGGGGGGCAGUGGAUCAAUCUUUUCCUGGAGGGAGUCAAUGGUGAUGGUGGGAAUGGGUCAGGGGUGCUGGCAAGGAGGGUCCAAGGCCCCCAGGAGGGAGGGAGGCAUGGGAGAUGAGUUUGUCCCUCUUGAGUUCUGUCUCUCUCUGUGUCUCUCUGUUUCUGCCUCUUUCUGUCUCCUUGUAUUUCUCAGUCCCUGUCUUCGUCUAUACCUCUUUCUCUCUUCCUUGUGUAUCUGACCCACUGCCCAGGAGGGGAUGCAGGCAGAGACCCCUGGCUUGGGUCCUGGAGUUGGGGCCCACGAGGGGAUUGACAUCUGGGGUUGAGCUGGGAAUCUGAAGCCAGACCCUGCAGCCAGGGACAGCAUUCCAGUCUCGGCUCCACACUCCAGGGAUAGCCUUGGAACGCCAGGCAGUUCAGAGAGCCUGAGGUCUGGUCUUGGAGACCUGGGUUCCAAUCCCAGCUUUGCCACAUUCCAGCCAUGUGGCCUUGGGCCCUUAGCCUUUGUUCCUGUAAAAUGGGACCACUGAGAGCCCGAUCUCAGGGUUUUAUGAGGAGGAACGAUGAGAGGGCUGUGCUGGGCUUCCUGAAGCCCUGUGUGGCCUGGAAAGCACUCAAUAGAUGAUAACUCAGUGUAAUGAUUUCUUCUAGCAGAUGGGGAAAGCGAGAGUUAAAGAGGCCCGAUCAUUUCACUCACUCAUUCCUCAAACGUUAUUAAGCACCUGCUAUGCACCAGGUGCUUUGUUUUGUAUCCAUUAACUCAGGGUUCAGCAAACUACAGCCUCCAGGCCAAAUCUGGUUCACAGCCUGUUUUUAUAAAUAAAGUUUUAUUGGCACACAGUAUGCCCAUUCAUUUACAUAUUGUCCACAGCUGCCUUUACCCUACAACUGCAAUGUUGAGCAGUUGUGAGAGAGACCUUAAAACCCACAAAGCUGAACAUAUGAACUCUCUGGACAUUUACAGUAAAGUUUGCUAAUCCCUGGAUUAGCCCAUUACAACCCUGGAGGAAGGACAUGUCAUAAGCUUGAUUUUAUGGAUUAGGAACUGAGGUCCGAGCGCAGUGUCUGC
Molecule: long non-coding RNA, 3688 nt
Filed under: Homo sapiens (human)
Lineage: Eukaryota; Metazoa; Chordata; Mammalia; Primates; Hominidae
Description: PREDICTED lncRNA (TCONS_00168365)
Source: RNAcentral